This 497-nucleotide ribosomal RNA is filed under the name uncultured bacterium. Its description in RNAcentral is "partial 16S ribosomal RNA". It matches the Rfam family "Bacterial small subunit ribosomal RNA", at positions 28 to 507 of the family's 1533-position model. The record is from RNAcentral.
GACGAACGCUGGCGGCGUGCCUAAUACAUGCAAGCUGAGCGCUGAAGGUUGGUACUUGUCCCAACUGGAUGAGCAGCGAACGGGUGAGUAACGCGUGGGGAAUCUGCCUUUGAGCGGGGGACAACAUUGGGAAACGAAUGCUAAUACCGCAUAAAAACUUUAAACACAAGUUUUAUGUUUGAAAGAUGCAAUUGCAUCACUCAAAGAUGAUCCCGCGUUGUAUUAGCUAGUUGGUGAGGUAAAGGCUCACCAAGGCGAUGAUACAUAGCCGACCUGAGAGGGGGGUCCGCCCCAUUGGGACCGGGACCCGGCCCCAGCCCCUUCGGGAGGCAGCAGUAGGGGAUCUUCGGCCAUGGACGAAAGUCUGACCGGGCCACGCCGCGUGAGUGAAGAAGGUUUUCGGAUCGUAAAACUCUGUUGGUAGAGAAAAACGUUGGUGAGAGUGGAAAGCUCAUCAAGUGACGGUAACUACCCAGAAAGCGACGGCUAACUACGUG